ACGGCUCAGUAACACGUGGACAACCUGCCCUUUAGGUUGGGUAUAAACCCGGGAAACUGGGUAUAAUACCCGAUAGGUCUCGAUUGCUGGAAUGCAUCGAGAUUUAAAGCUCCGGCGCCUAAGGAUGGGUCUGCGGCCUAUCAGGUAGUAGUGGGUGUAGCGUACCUACUAGCCUACGACGGGUACGGGUUGUGAGAGCAAGAGCCCGGAGAUGGAUUCUGAGACACGAAUCCAGGCCCUACGGGGUGCAGCAGGCGCGAAAACUUUACAAUGCUGGCAACAGCGAUAAGGGAACCUCGAGUGCCAGGUUACAAAUCUGGCUGUCGAGAUGCCUAAAAAGCAUUUCAUAGCAAGGGCCGGGCAAGACCGGUGCCAGCCGCCGCGGUAACACCGGCGGCUCGAGUGGUAACCGUUAUUAUUGGGUCUAAAGGGUCUGUAGCCGGCCGGAUAAGUCUCUUGAGAAAUCUGGCAGCUUAACUGUCAGGCUUUCAGGAGAUACUGUCUGGCUCGAGGCCGGGAGAGGUGAGAGGUACUUCAGGGGUAGGGGUGAAAUCUUGUAAUCCUUGAAGGACCACCAGUGGCGAAGGCGUCUCACCAGAACGGACCUGACGGCAAGGGACGAAAGCUAGGGGCACGAACCGGAUUAGAUACCCGGGUAGUCCUAGCCGUAAACGAUACUCGCUAGGUGUCGGCCACGGUGCGACCGUUGUCGGUGCCGUAGGGAAGCCGUGAAGCGAGCCACCUGGGAAGUACGGCCGCAAGGCUGAAACUUAAAGGAAUUGGCGGGGGAGCAC
Molecule: ribosomal RNA, 794 nt
Filed under: uncultured archaeon
Lineage: Archaea
Also listed under: 1 other name
Description: bacterial SSU rRNA
Rfam family: Archaeal small subunit ribosomal RNA
Source: RNAcentral